Molecule: ribosomal RNA, 497 nt
Filed under: uncultured bacterium
Lineage: Bacteria
Description: partial 16S ribosomal RNA
Rfam family: Bacterial small subunit ribosomal RNA
Source: RNAcentral
GAUGAACGCUGGCGGCGUGCCUAAUACAUGCAAGUCGAGCGAACGGACGAGAAGCUUGCUCCUCUGAGGUUAGCGGCGGACGGGUGAGUAACACGUGGAUAACCUACCUAUAAGACUGGGAUAACUUCGGGAAACCGGAGCUAAUACCGGAUCAUAUUUUGAACCGCAUGGUUCAAUAGUGAAAGACGGUUUUGCUGUCACUUAUAGAUGGAUCCGCGCCGCAUUAGCUAGUUGGUAAGGUAACGGCUUACCAAGGCAACGAUGCGUAGCCGACCUGAGAGGGUGAUCGGCCACACUGGAACUGAGACACGGUCCAGACUCCUACGGGAGGCAGCAGUAGGGAAUCUUCCGCAAUGGGCGAAAGCCUGACGGAGCAACGCCGCGUGAGUGAUGAAGGUCUUCGGAUCGUAAAACUCUGUUAUUAGGGAAGAACAAAUGUGUAAGUAACUAUGCACGUCUUGACGGUACCUAAUCAGAAAGCCACGGCUAACUACGUG